GCCGGGUUGGCAGAAUGGUAAUGCGCUGGCCUUGAAAGCCAGUGGCGAAAGCCUCGCAGGUUCGAAUCCUGCACCCGGCG
RNAcentral lists this transfer RNA (80 nucleotides) under Nanobdellota archaeon. Its description in RNAcentral is "tRNA-Ser". It matches the Rfam family "tRNA". Rfam says of the family: Transfer RNA (tRNA) molecules are approximately 80 nucleotides in length. Their secondary structure includes four short double-helical elements and three loops (D, anti-codon, and T loops). The record is from RNAcentral. RNAcentral also lists the same sequence under 1 other name. Lineage: Archaea; Nanobdellati; Nanobdellota.